Pygocentrus nattereri (red-bellied piranha) is the source of this 584-nucleotide long non-coding RNA. RefSeq lists it as uncharacterized. The record is from RefSeq and is a predicted model, not a curated record. The transcript is spliced from 4 exons. Lineage: Eukaryota; Metazoa; Chordata; Actinopteri; Characiformes; Serrasalmidae.
GCUGAAACGGACUUCUGUGGAACCAGAGGUUGUGUAUUUAAGUCUUGAAAAACUAGACUAGGGAAUGCUGAGAUUUUUUUCUUUUCUGCUUUGGGGCAGAUCAGCUCCGGUUGUUGGCGUUUUCAUGGCCUUCGCGAGUCGCCUGACAUGGAGCGAGCAGAGUGCAGCGUUACCCGCUGGAAGGUGCGAGACCACGCAGAGGAGGACAGGGAGGAGGAGACAGGUGUUUUGGACCGGCUUAGGUUUUGGGGAGGGAAUUGCGAAUCUCCUGUUGUCUCACCCACUGUUGAUCAUUUGAUGAUGCAGAACAAAAAAAUGAAGAGAGUCUGUUUUUAGUGGAGUGUGAUGCUGUGUACAUUUCAGAGGAGGAUGGAAUCCAGACCUCUUCAGAUAUGAACUUGGAAGAGAGCAGUGCCAUUUCAGAAGUUGUGCACUCCAUAAAACGCAUAAAGAGGCUGAACACAGAUUUACAAAAGUCUCUGGAUAUGGCAGAAGACAGCAACUCAGCCCUCAGAGCCGAAAACACUGCCCUGAAGAACCAAAUCAAAACGUGAUUUACUCUAACUACCUACAGUCAUUUUAAA